Molecule: transfer RNA, 25 nt
Filed under: Atherinosoma elongatum
Lineage: Eukaryota; Metazoa; Chordata; Actinopteri; Atheriniformes; Atherinidae
Description: partial tRNA-Pro
Source: RNAcentral
GGAUUCUAAACUAAACUAUUUCUUG